AAAGGGCCGCGGUAAUUUGACCGUGCGAAGGUAGCAUAAUCAUUUGUCCUUUAAUUGGGGGCUGGAAUGAAAGGUUGGAUGAGGGGUCAAAUGUCUCUGUGUUAUAAUUAAAAUUUUACCUUUGAGUGAAAAGGCUCAAAUUUAAUUAAGUGAAGAUAAGACCCUAUAAAACUUAUAUAAAAGUAGGGCACAUCGUGUUUAAAAAUGUUCAAAACCAGGUGACUUGGAUUAUAUUUUGUUGGGGCGACAAUAAUAGAAGAACAAGUAUCUGUUGUUUUUAAUAAGUUAGUGAUAGUUAAGAGGUGAGCCUUCCAUAGGGAUCAGAAGACCAAGUUACUUUAGGGAUAACAGCGUAAUUUUCUUUGAGAGACCUAAUCGACAAGAGUAGUUGCGACCUCGAUGUUGAAUUAAAAUUUCUAUAAAGUGCAGAAGCUUUAUUAGUGAGUCUGUUCGACUCUUAAAAUUUUACAUGAUUU
Molecule: ribosomal RNA, 476 nt
Filed under: Philarius imperialis
Lineage: Eukaryota; Metazoa; Arthropoda; Malacostraca; Decapoda; Palaemonidae
Description: partial 16S ribosomal RNA
Rfam family: Archaeal large subunit ribosomal RNA
Source: RNAcentral